RNAcentral lists this ribosomal RNA (252 nucleotides) under uncultured bacterium. Its description in RNAcentral is "partial 16S ribosomal RNA". It matches the Rfam family "Bacterial small subunit ribosomal RNA", at positions 524 to 776 of the family's 1533-position model. The record is from RNAcentral.
UACGUAGGGAGCAAGCGUUGUCCGGAAUCAUUGGGCGUAAAGCGCGCGUAGGUGGCCCCAUAAGUCCGCUGUGAAAGUCAAAGGCUCAACCUUUGAAAGCCGGUGGAUACUGUGGGACUAGAGUACGGAAGAGGCGAGUGGAAUUCCUGGUGUAGCGGUGGAAUGCGCAGAUAUCAGGAGGAACACCAAUAGCGAAGGCAGCUCGCUGGGACGUUACUGACACUGAGGCGCGAAAGCGUGGGAGCGAACAGG